RNAcentral lists this ribosomal RNA (691 nucleotides) under bacterium. RNAcentral describes it as "bacterial SSU rRNA". It matches the Rfam family "Bacterial small subunit ribosomal RNA", at positions 77 to 764 of the family's 1533-position model. The record is from RNAcentral.
AGCUUGCUUCUCUUGAGAGCGGCGGACGGGUGAGUAAUGCCUAGGAAUCUGCCUGGUAGUGGGGGAUAACGUUCGGAAACGGACGCUAAUACCGCAUACGUCCUACGGGAGAAAGCAGGGGACCUUCGGGCCUUGCGCUAUCAGAUGAGCCUAGGUCGGAUUAGCUAGUUGGUGGGGUAAUGGCUCACCAAGGCGACGAUCCGUAACUGGUCUGAGAGGAUGAUCAGUCACACUGGAACUGAGACACGGUCCAGACUCCUACGGGAGGCAGCAGUGGGGAAUAUUGGACAAUGGGCGAAAGCCUGAUCCAGCCAUGCCGCGUGUGUGAAGAAGGUCUUCGGAUUGUAAAGCACUUUAAGUUGGGAGGAAGGGCCAUUACCUAAUACGUGAUGGUUUUGACGUUACCGACAGAAUAAGCACCGGCUAACUCUGUGCCAGCAGCCGCGGUAAUACAGAGGGUGCAAGCGUUAAUCGGAAUUACUGGGCGUAAAGCGCGCGUAGGUGGUUUGUUAAGUUGGAUGUGAAAUCCCCGGGCUCAACCUGGGAACUGCAUUCAAAACUGACUGACUAGAGUAUGGUAGAGGGUGGUGGAAUUUCCUGUGUAGCGGUGAAAUGCGUAGAUAUAGGAAGGAACACCAGUGGCGAAGGCGACCACCUGGACUGAUACUGACACUGAGGUGCGAAAGCGUGG